AUUGAACGCUGGCGGCAUGCUUUACACAUGCAAGUCGAACGGCAGCGCGGGCUUCGGCCUGGCGGCGAGUGGCGAACGGGUGAGUAAUACAUCGGAACGUGCCCAGUAGUGGGGGAUAGCUCGGCGAAAGCCGGAUUAAUACCGCAUACGACCUGAGGGUGAAGGCGGGGGAUCUUCGGACCUCGCGCUAUUGGAGCGGCCGAUGGCAGAUUAGCUAGUUGGUGGGGUAAAGGCCUACCAAGGCGACGAUCUGUAGCUGGUAUGAGAGGACGACCAGCCACACUGGGACUGAGACACGGCCCAGACUCCUACGGGAGGCAGCAGUGGGGAAUUUUGGACAAUGGGCGAAAGCCUGAUCCAGCAAUGCCGCGUGUGUGAUGAAGGCCUUCGGGUUGUAAAGCACUGUUGGCGGGAACGAAAAGGACUGUGCCAAUACCACGGUUCGAUGACGGUACCCGCAGAAUAAGCACCGGCUAACUACGUG
RNAcentral lists this ribosomal RNA (484 nucleotides) under uncultured bacterium. Its description in RNAcentral is "partial 16S ribosomal RNA". It matches the Rfam family "Bacterial small subunit ribosomal RNA", at positions 29 to 507 of the family's 1533-position model. The record is from RNAcentral.